GGUCAAGCUUUUCCUCCCAUCCAUGAAGAGAGCGGCCGCACCUGAGCUGGAAUCCCAGGUGACACACAGGUGGGUCUGCAGGGCACCGAUGUCAGGGACUCGGAAAAAUACAGGUUCAUCCACCAGCACAGCGUCUCCAACUCUCCACCAAGGAGAGAAGACGGCAAGUUCAAGACAAGACAAGUUCAUGAAAGAUUCAUUCGCGGUUUCUAUGACGCUUUUCUGCAUCUGUGAGACGUGCAACUUUGAGUCCUGUGAAGAGAAGACGCCCAUCAGCUGCAGGAGUCUGUUAAACUCCAUCAGGACAGAAACGCAGAGUUGACUCACAGAUGGAGGAAUAUCUGAUAGAAGAGAAUAUAAACACCACCAGCACAAUGAGCUCAUCAGCAAAGACAACUACUCGAGGCGGGUAUAUAUAUGGUUAUGGCUGCAGCCUG
Long non-coding RNA from Perca flavescens (yellow perch), 437 nucleotides. RefSeq lists it as uncharacterized. Lineage: Eukaryota; Metazoa; Chordata; Actinopteri; Perciformes; Percidae. The record is from RefSeq and is a predicted model, not a curated record. The transcript has 5 exons.